UACGUAGGGUGCGAGCGUUGUCCGGAAUUAUUGGGCGUAAAGAGCUCGUAGGCGGUCUGUCGCGUCGAAUGUGAAACCCGGGGCUCAACUCCGGGCUUGCAUUCGAUACGGGCAGGCUAGAGUUCGGUAGGGGAGUCUGGAAUUCCUGGUGUAGCGGUGAAAUGCGCAGAUAUCAGGAGGAACACCGGUGGCGAAGGCGGGACUCUGGGCCGAUACUGACGCUGAGGAGCGAAAGCGUGGGGAGCGAACAGG
Molecule: ribosomal RNA, 252 nt
Filed under: uncultured bacterium
Lineage: Bacteria
Description: partial 16S ribosomal RNA
Rfam family: Bacterial small subunit ribosomal RNA
Source: RNAcentral